GAUGAAGAAACGUAGCGAAAUGCGAUACGUAAUGUGAAUUGCAGAAUUCAGUGAAUCAUCGAAUCUUUGAACGCAUAUUGUGCUCUCUGGUAUUCCGGAGAGCAUGCUUGUUUGAGUAUCAGUAAACACCUCAACUUCCAUAUCUUUUUUGAAAUGGGAGUUGGACUUGAGUGAUCCCAACGCUUUUCCUCACCGAAAAGUGGCGGGUUACUUGAAAUGCAGGUGCAGCUGGACUUUUCUCUGAGCUAUAAGCAUAUCUAUUUAGUCUGCCUAAAAAACAGAUUAUUACCUUUGCUGCAGCUAACAUAAAGGAGAUUAGUUCUUGUGCUGACUGAUGCAGGAUUCACAAAGACAGGCUUCGGCCGACUUUGUAAACUCGAUCUCAAAUCAAGUAAGACUACCCGCUGAACUUAAGCAUAUCAAUAAGCGGAGGA
RNAcentral lists this unclassified non-coding RNA (434 nucleotides) under soil metagenome. RNAcentral's name for it is "partial contains 5.8S ribosomal RNA, internal transcribed spacer 2, and large subunit ribosomal RNA". The stretch from base 1 to 121 matches the Rfam family "5.8S ribosomal RNA", at positions 35 to 154 of the family's 154-position model. The record is from RNAcentral.